This 661-nucleotide ribosomal RNA is filed under the name Pedobacter antarcticus. RNAcentral describes it as "bacterial SSU rRNA". It matches the Rfam family "Bacterial small subunit ribosomal RNA", at positions 35 to 690 of the family's 1533-position model. The record is from RNAcentral. Lineage: Bacteria; Pseudomonadati; Bacteroidota; Sphingobacteriia; Sphingobacteriales; Sphingobacteriaceae.
GCUGGCGGCAGGCUUAACACAUGCAAGUCGAGCGGGGAAAAGUAGCUUGCUACCUGACCUAGCGGCGGACGGGUGAGUAAUGCUUAGGAAUCUGCCUAUUAGUGGGGGACAACAUCUCGAAAGGGAUGCUAAUACCGCAUACGUCCUACGGGAGAAAGCAGGGGACCUUCGGGCCUUGCGCUAAUAGAUGAGCCUAAGUCGGAUUAGCUAGUUGGUGGGGUAAAGGCCUACCAAGGCGACGAUCUGUAGCGGGUCUGAGAGGAUGAUCCGCCACACUGGGACUGAGACACGGCCCAGACUCCUACGGGAGGCAGCAGUGGGGAAUAUUGGACAAUGGGGGGAACCCUGAUCCAGCCAUGCCGCGUGUGUGAAGAAGGCCUUUUGGUUGUAAAGCACUUUAAGCGAGGAGGAGGCUACCGAGAUUAAUACUCUUGGAUAGUGGACGUUACUCGCAGAAUAAGCACCGGCUAACUCUGUGCCAGCAGCCGCGGUAAUACAGAGGGUGCAAGCGUUAAUCGGAUUUACUGGGCGUAAAGCGCGCGUAGGUGGCCAAUUAAGUCAAAUGUGAAAUCCCCGAGCUUAACUUGGGAAUUGCAUUCGAUACUGGUUGGCUAGAGUAUGGGAGAGGAUGGUAGAAUUCCAGGUGUAGCGGUGAAAUGCC